Molecule: long non-coding RNA, 648 nt
Organism: Triticum dicoccoides
Lineage: Eukaryota; Viridiplantae; Streptophyta; Magnoliopsida; Poales; Poaceae
Exons: 3
Source: RefSeq, a predicted model, not a curated record
CUCGCUCCAGACUCGAGAGGGAUGCGGAGAGAGGAGGUGCGCGAGGGGAUCUAGGGCCACCGAGCCAGCCGAGCCGAGCCGCGCGAGGGCCGAGGGGAGCCGACAAGCGACGGGAUCCACAGCGGCGCGCGGGAUGCGGGUGAAUUGUGCGCGGGCCGAUCCUGCCGAGGCGGUCCAUCCGAUUGGGAAGUGGAAAGGGGGGACACGGGAAGAGGAGGCGCGCGCGCGAGGGGAUCCAGCGCCGCGGGCGAUAAUGGCCGGCGCCUCAUCUGCCGGAAACUGCUCGCAAUCAUACCUCAGUUUCUCAACGCUCAUUCAUGGCGAUUGAUGUGCCAAUUCUUUCCGCUGUCGAGCGGUACAUCUAUAUAUGCUUCCUCCUCUGGUCGCUCACCCUCUCUACUCCGGCAGCAAAACAAUCAUGCCGGGCAGGGUUCCCUGUGAUGUUCAUGCUAGCGGUGCUCGAUUGAUUUCAUUUUGUAGCUUCGUACUGGAAUUUUUUGGUGUUGGUAAUCUCAAAUCUCUUUGGACAGAAGCAGAGGCCGAUUGUGCUUAUGAACUAGCAGUGCCUAAGGCCAAUAUGGGGCUGUUACAUACAGACCUACCAGGUUCAUUGGAGUUCUGCUUGAUGGAACUUUCUGUUUGCUGCCA